GAUGAACGCUGGCGGCGUGCUUAACACAUGCAAGUCGAACGGUGAAAGAGAGCUUGCUCUCUGGAUCAGUGGCGAACGGGUGAGUAACACGUGAGCAAUCUGCCCCUGACUCUGGGAUAAGCGCUGGAAACGGCGUCUAAUACCGGAUACGAGCUGCGAAGGCAUCUUCAGCAGCUGGAAAGAACUUCGGUCAGGGAUGAGCUCGCGGCCUAUCAGCUAGUUGGUGAGGUAACGGCUCACCAAGGCGUCGACGGGUAGCCGGCCUGAGAGGGUGACCGGCCACACUGGGACUGAGACACGGCCCAGACUCCUACGGGAGGCAGCAGUGGGGAAUAUUGCACAAUGGGCGAAAGCCUGAUGCAGCAACGCCGCGUGAGGGACGACGGCCUUCGGGUUGUAAACCUCCUUUAGCAGGGAAGAAGCGAAAGUGACGGUACCUGCAGAAAAAGCGCCGGCUAACUACGUG
Molecule: ribosomal RNA, 466 nt
Filed under: uncultured bacterium
Lineage: Bacteria
Description: partial 16S ribosomal RNA
Rfam family: Bacterial small subunit ribosomal RNA
Source: RNAcentral